This 441-nucleotide ribosomal RNA is filed under the name uncultured bacterium. Its description in RNAcentral is "partial 16S ribosomal RNA". It matches the Rfam family "Bacterial small subunit ribosomal RNA", at positions 339 to 795 of the family's 1533-position model. The record is from RNAcentral.
CUACGGGAGGCUCCAGUGGGGAAUAUUGCACAAUGGGCGCAAGCCUGAUGCGGCAACGCCGUGUGAGUGAUGAAGGUCUUCGGAUUGUAAAACUCUGUCCUAUGGGAAGAAAAAAAUGACGGUACCAUAGGAGGAAGCCCCGGCUAACUACGUGCCAGCAGCCGCGGUAAUACGUAGGGGGCAAGCGUUAUCCGGAAUCACUGGGCGUAAAGGGUGCGUAGGCGGCCUAUCAAGUCAGAGGUGAAAGGCAUUGGCUCAACCAAUGUAAGCCUUUGAAACUGUUAGGCUUGAGUGCAGGAGAGGUAAGUGGAAUUCCUAGUGUAGAGGUGAAAUUCGUAGAUAUUAGGAGGAACACCAGUGGCGAAGGCGACUUACUGGACUGUAACUGACGCUGAGGCACGAAAGCGUGGGGAGCGAACAGGAUUAGAUACCCUCGUAGUC